CCAGACUCCUACGGGAGGCAGCAGUGGGGGAUAUUGCACAAUGGGGGGAACCCUGAUGCAGCGACGCCGCGUGGGUGAAGGAGCGUUUCGGCGCGUAAAGCCCUAUCGGCAGGGAAGAAGGAGGACGGUACCUGACUAAGAAGCCCCGGCUAACUACGUGCCAGCAGCCGCGGUAAUACGUAGGGGGCAAGCGUUAUCCGGAUUCACUGGGUGUAAAGGGAGCGUAGACGGCGACGCAAGUCUGGAGUGAAGGCCCGGGGCCCAACCAUGGGACUGCUUUGGAAACUGUAAAACUGGAGUGCAGGAGAGGUAAGCGGAAUUCCUAGUGUAGCGGUGAAAUGCGUAGAUAUUAGGAGGAACACCAGUGGCGAAGGCGGCUUACUGGACUGUAACUGACGUUGAGGCUCGAAGGCGUGGGGAGCAAACAGGAUUAGAUACCCCAGUA
This 445-nucleotide ribosomal RNA is filed under the name uncultured bacterium. RNAcentral describes it as "partial 16S ribosomal RNA". It matches the Rfam family "Bacterial small subunit ribosomal RNA", at positions 331 to 792 of the family's 1533-position model. The record is from RNAcentral.